RNAcentral lists this ribosomal RNA (484 nucleotides) under uncultured bacterium. RNAcentral's name for it is "partial 16S ribosomal RNA". It matches the Rfam family "Bacterial small subunit ribosomal RNA", at positions 30 to 507 of the family's 1533-position model. The record is from RNAcentral.
AUUGAACGCUGGCGGCAGGCCUAACACAUGCAAGUCGAGCGGAUGAAGGGAGCUUGCUCCUGGAUUCAGCGGCGGACGGGUGAGUAAUGCCUAGGAAUCUGCCUGGUAGUGGGGGAUAACGUCCGGAAACGGGCGCUAAUACCGCAUACGUCCUGAGGGAGAAAGGGGGGGAUCUUCGGACCUCACGCUAUCAGAUGAGCCUAGGUCGGAUUAGCUAGUUGGUGGGGUAAAGGCCUACCAAGGCGACGAUCCGUAACUGGGCUGAGAGGAUGAUCAGUCACACUGGAACUGAGACACGGUCCAGACUCCUACGGGAGGCAGCAGUGGGGAAUAGUGGACAAUGGGCGAAAGCCUGAUCCAGCCAUGCCGCGUGUGUGAAGAAGGUCUUCGGAUUGUAAAGCACUUUAAGUUGGGAGGAAGGGCAGUAAGUUAAUACCUUGCUGUUUUGACGUUACCAACAGAAUAAGCACCGGCUAACUUCGUG